Molecule: ribosomal RNA, 1484 nt
Filed under: metagenome
Description: bacterial SSU rRNA
Rfam family: Bacterial small subunit ribosomal RNA
Source: RNAcentral
AGAGUUUGAUCAUGGCUCAGGAUGAACGCUGGCGGCGUGCUUAACACAUGCAAGUCGAGCGAAGCACUCUGCUUUGAUUCUUUCGGGAUGAAGAGUAUUGUGACUGAGCGGCGGACGGGUGAGUAACGCGUGGGUAACCUGCCUCAUACAGGGGGAUAACAGUUAGAAAUGGCUGCUAAUACCGCAUAAGACCACAGCACCGCAUGGUGCAGGGGUAAAAACUCCGGGGGUAUGAGAUGGAUCCGCGUCUGAUUAGCUAGUUGGUGGGGUAACGGCCUACCAAGGCGACGAUCAGUAGCCGACCUGAGAGGGUGACCGGCCACAUUGGGACUGAGACACGGCCCAAACUCCUACGGGAGGCAGCAGUGGGGAAUAUUGCACAAUGGGGGAAACCCUGAUGUAGCGACGCCGCGUGAGCGAAGAAGUAUUUCGGUAUGUAAAGCUCUAUCAGCAGGGAAGAAAAUGACGGUACCUGACUAAGAAGCCCCGGCUAACUACGUGCCAGCAGCCGCGGUAAUACGUAGGGGGCAAGCGUUAUCCGGAUCUACUGGGUGUAAAGGGAGCGCAGGCGGGAAGACAAGUUGGAAGUGAAAUCCAUGGGCUCAACCCAUGAACUGCUUUCAAAACUGUUUUUCUUGAGUAGUGCAGAGGUAGGCGGAAUUCCCGGUGUAGCGGUGGAAUGCGUAGAUAUCGGGAGGAACACCAGUGGCGAAGGCGGCCUACUGGGCACCAACUGACGCUGAGGCUCGAAAGUGUGGGUAGCAAACAGGAUUAGAUACCCUGGUAGUCCACACCGUAAACGAUGAUUACUAGGUGUUGGAGGAUUGAUCCCUUCAGUGCCGCAGUUAACACAAUAAGUAAUCCACCUGGGGAGUACGACCGCAAGGUUGAAACUCAAAGGAAUUGACGGGGGCCCGCACAAGCAGUGGAGUAUGUGGUUUAAUUCGACGCAACGCGAAGAACCUUACCAAGUCUUGACAUCCUGCGACGGACAUAGAAAUAUGUUUUUCCUUCGGGACGCAGAGACAGGUGGUGCAUGGUUGUCGUCAGCUCGUGUCGUGAGAUGUUGGGUUAAGUCCCGCAACGAGCGCAACCCUUAUGGUCAGUUACUACGCAAGAGGACUCUGGCCAGACUGCCGUUGACAAAACGGAGGAAGGUGGGGAUGACGUCAAAUCAUCAUGCCCUUUAUGACUUGGGCUACACACGUACUACAAUGGCGUUAAACAAAGAGAAGCAAGACCGCGAGGUGGAGCAAAACUCAGAAACAACGUCCCAGUUCGGACUGCAGGCUGCAACUCGCCUGCACGAAGUCGGAAUUGCUAGUAAUCGUGGAUCAGCAUGCCACGGUGAAUACGUUCCCGGACCUUGUACACACCGCCCGUCACACCAUGAGAGCCGGGGGGACCCGAAGUCGGUAGUCUAACCGCAAGGAGGACGCCGCCGAAGGUAAAACUGGUGAUUGGGGUGAAGUCGUAACAAGGUA